GCAUCUAUACUGUGAAACUGCGAAUGGCUCAUUAAAUCAGUUAUCGUUUAUUUGAUAGUACCUUACUACAUGGAUACCUGUGGUAAUUCUAGAGCUAAUACAUGCUAAAAACCCCGACUUCGGGAGGGGUGUAUUUAUUAGAUAAAAAACCAAUGCCCCUCGGGGCUCCUUGGUGAAUCAUAAUAACUUAACGAAUCGCAUGGCCUUGCGCCGGCGAUGGUUCAUUCAAAUUUCUGCCCUAUCAACUUUCGAUGGUAGGAUAGUGGCCUACCAUGGUGGCAACGGGUAACGGGGAAUUAGGGUUCGAUUCCGGAGAGGGAGCCUGAGAAACGGCUACCACAUCCAAGGAAGGCAGCAGGCGCGCAAAUUACCCAAUCCCGACACGGGGAGGUAGUGACAAUAAAUACUGAUACGGGGCUCUUUUGGGUCUCGUAAUUGGAAUGAGUACAAUCUAAAUCCCUUAACGAGGGACAAUUGGAGGGCAAGUCUGGUGCCAGCAGCCGCGGUAAUUCCAGCUCCAAUAGCGUAUAUUAAAGUUGUUGCAGUUAAAAAGCUCGUAGUUGAACGUUGGGUCUGGCUGGCCGGUCGCGCCUCACCGCGAGUACUGGUCCGGCUGGACCUUUCCUUCUGGGGAAUCCCAUGGCGUUCACUGGCGUGUGGGUGGAACCAGGACUUUUACUGUGAAAAAAUUAGAGUGUUCAAAGCAGGCCUUUGCUCGGAUACAUUAGCAUGGAGAUAAUAGAAUAGGACGUGCGGUUCUAUUUUGUUGGUUUCUAGGACCGCCGUAAUGAUUAAUAGGGAUAGUCGGGGGCGUCAGUAUUCAGCUGUCAGAGGUGAAAUUCUUGGAUUUGCUGAAGACUAACUACUGCGAAAGCAUUCGCCAAGGAUGUUUUCAUUAAUCAGGGAACGAAAGUUAGGGGAUCGAAGACGAUCAGAUACCGUCGUAGUCUUAACCAUAAACUAUGCCGACUAGGGAUCGGGCGGCGUUUCUAUGAUGACCCGCUCGGCACCUUACGAGAAAUCAAAGUUUUUGGGUUU
This 1038-nucleotide ribosomal RNA is filed under the name Aspergillus versicolor. Its description in RNAcentral is "SSU rRNA". It matches the Rfam family "Eukaryotic small subunit ribosomal RNA", at positions 69 to 1114 of the family's 1831-position model. Lineage: Eukaryota; Fungi; Ascomycota; Eurotiomycetes; Eurotiales; Aspergillaceae. The record is from RNAcentral.